Lolium rigidum is the source of this 1043-nucleotide long non-coding RNA. RefSeq lists it as uncharacterized. The record is from RefSeq and is a predicted model, not a curated record. NCBI's taxonomy places the organism in Eukaryota, Viridiplantae, Streptophyta, Magnoliopsida, Poales, Poaceae. The transcript is spliced from 4 exons.
UAUUUUGUCUUUCACCGGCACAAAGUAUCUGGAUUCAGCAUCUCUGUACCUCUAUACAUAGCACCUCACAGCUCUCCUGGAAAGUCCACGCGCUUCUCUGCUCUAUUUGCUGGCCUCCAGAUUCAGAUUUCAGAAACUAGCGAUCGAUCUGAAGCUCGAUCCCGCACCAUCGAUCUGAAGCUCGACCCGCCCGCGUGAACGGUGAACCCUGUAUCAGGGGAAUGCUUGGGAAUAGGAUGGUCGCCGUAAACAUGUUCAAUGAAACGCUCGAUAUUCUUGAGAACAAAUACAAUGAAGAGGUCGGUUGCUUAAUGAAGACGAAGCACAAGAAUUUAGUGUGUUUUCUGGGUUCUCGGACAAGAGGAAUAAUUGUAGACUACGAGGGAGCAUCUUCUAUACUUGUAUGGAGAAAGUGUCAUGAAGUAAUCAAGAGAAUUUGUGAGGGUUUAUAUCAUCUGCAUGUGAAGCAGCGUAAUGUCCACUUGAAUCUGAAACCAGCGAACAUAUUGUUAGAUGAUAGUAUGGUACCAAAAAUCGCUAAUUUGGACUAUAUUUUAAGUCAGACAUAUACAGCUUGGGUGUUAUAAUCAUAAAGAUACUAUCAGGGAUUGCCUGAUUGGUUGUCUAAUGAAGGCGAAGCACAAAAACAUAAUACGAUUUCUGGGAUAUUGUGCUGACACACAAGAGACAAUUAAAGUCCGUUAUGGCUUUUAUAUUAAAGAGGUUGCUCUGUUUCGAGUAUCUACCUAAAGGAAGCCUUGAUAAGUAUAUUAUUGGUAUAUCUUCACGUGAAUCGGCGUAUAUUCCACUUAGACCGUACACCUACAAACAUACUGUUAGAUGAGAAUAUGGUACCAAAAAUUACUGAUUUUGGUCUCUCAAGAUGCUUUGAUGAAAAGUAAAGCCAGGCUUAUACUUGAAAUUCGAAAGGAACCUUGUAAGCUAUUAAUGAAUUCGAGCAAUUUAAAUGUUUUCUUAUUCUGUGUGUAAGAAUUGCAUUGAUUUUAUUUACCAAUAAUGUAAAUUUGCAUGCAGUGGAUAUA